CAGCCGCCGCGGUAAUACGUAGGUGGCAAGCGUUGUCCGGAAUUAUUGGGCGUAAAGGGCUCGCAGGCGGUUUCUUAAGUCUGAUGUGAAAGCCCCCGACUCAACCGGGGAGGGUCAUUGGAAACUGGGAAACUUGAGUGCAGAAGAGGAGAGUGGAAUUCCACGUGUAGCGGUGAAAUGCGUAGAGAUGUGGAGGAACACCAGUGGCGAAGGCGACUCUCUGGUCUGUAACUGACGCUGAGGAGCGAAAGCGUGGGGAGCGAACAGGAUUAGAUACCCCAGUAGUCCCUGUCUCUUAUAU
RNAcentral lists this ribosomal RNA (301 nucleotides) under uncultured bacterium. Its description in RNAcentral is "partial 16S ribosomal RNA". It matches the Rfam family "Bacterial small subunit ribosomal RNA", at positions 509 to 809 of the family's 1533-position model. The record is from RNAcentral.